This is a non-coding RNA of Phasianus colchicus (ring-necked pheasant), 727 nucleotides long. NCBI's taxonomy places the organism in Eukaryota, Metazoa, Chordata, Aves, Galliformes, Phasianidae. The record is from RefSeq and is a predicted model, not a curated record.
CCAAGAUCAUGGCCAAACACAGUGAUCAAAGGUUCACAGUGAGUCCUGCUGGCCUGGCCUCUUCUCGCAGUGAAGGAAACUUUCAGUGUUUUCAGCCUCCAACCUAAUGAACUAGUUAUGUAUAGGAACAUUUUACACCUGAAUGCAAGUUCAAAGAAUCAGUAUUUGAAAACUACUACGUAACAUAUUCUUCAAUGAUCUAUAGACAGCAACAGUCUGGCCGGGGUUGGUAUUUGGGUCUUAACAAGGAAGGAGAAAUAAUGAAAGGAAACCACGUGAAGAAAAAUAAACCUGCAGCACACUUUCUUCCAAAACCAUUAAAAGUGGCCAUGUACAAAGAGCCUUCUCUCCACGAUCUCACAGAGUUCUCAAGAUCUGGAAGUGGGACCCCAACAAAGAGCAGAAGUGUUUCAGGAGUGCUAAAUGGGGGUAAAUCCAUGAGCCAAAACGAGUCAACGUAGCCAGGUUAAGGCAAGCCAAGUGCUCUCUAAACAGAACCUUACCUCUGGAUGCAGUUGAAUUCUUACUAGCAGUCUUUCAUCCAAAUGUUCAAUUGCCCAGGACAAGCCACCGAACUUGCAUAGGUCACUCGUUUAUCAGCCAUUAGAUCUACUGGUUGUCAAAGGAUAUACCCCAAUAAUGUAGAAUAUGCUUGUGCAUAUCACAAGGCACUUGGAUAGCCAGCAAACAUAACUGCGGAUUAAAUCUCGGAGAAGAGGUGUCCAGA